Molecule: long non-coding RNA, 1819 nt
Organism: Taeniopygia guttata (zebra finch)
Lineage: Eukaryota; Metazoa; Chordata; Aves; Passeriformes; Estrildidae
Source: Ensembl
AUGAGAGGUUCGUGUCUUCAACUGGCCUACAAAGUCCCAGUUCUCGGCUCCCGGGACCUGCCGGGCGCGCAGCGGGCGAAGACGGAGCGCGGCGGCGCCGCUGGCGCUGCCCGGGGCCGCUCGGGCGCGACGCGGGGUCCGGCCCGGGCCGGUCGGGUCCGGGGCACGGCGGGCGCUGCUCAGGGACCGCGGCUCGCCCGGCGCCGGGGCCGGCGGGUGCCCGGCUCGCCGCGGGGAGAGGACGGAGCUGGCUCUCCGCGAACCUGGAAAGCUGACUGCUCAACACUUCUGAAAGCACCUGGCCGAGCUGUCCUGCUCCGAGUGUCCAAGGAACCAGAAGCCAACAUGAGUCAACGCUCUGGGAAACAUCGGCCUGCCAAGAUAAAAAUCUAUUUCUUCUGUGUGUGUCUGAAGAUCCUGAACAGAGUCAAUCCCCACUAACCAAGCAAAUGGAGAGAGCAGAUAGCCCAGAUACAGCCAAACUCAGAAGAGUAAAAAACAGGUAAAUUAUAUCCUCAAAUGGACAGUAAGAAUAUGAAAUACAGAAGAGUUUAGUGUUGCUGCUGAGUACAGACCACAGAUAACACUGGCAGACCUGCACCAGGCAGCACAUGUGGAUAUGCCACUGAGCCCAGCUCAGCAUCUCAGCUGAUUUCCAUGGGGACAGUGGAUAGUGGAUAUGUAGGGAUAACUGCAAUUCAGACUGGUGGUGUAUAACAGCGUGAACAAACACUGAGAAAAACCCAAAUUCCAGUUCAGGUGAGAGCAGAAAUAUUUUAUGCUAACCCAGAGGAAGUGCCUGUCAAAUUGAGUAACUGAGAACUCUCUACUGCCUCAGCUCAGCCUCCCUUCCCAAAUUCCAUCAGCAUUCACUCCUUCUCAUGCCCCUCUUCUCUUUCCUGACUCUUCCCCCACAGGCUGAAGGAAAUGGUACCUGCAAUUGCUAUGCUGAAGGAGUGCUGUUCCAUCCCAAGGCAGCCCAGAGCAGAGCUGUGGUCCAAGCAAAGGGGAAAGUCAAGCACAAGCAGAGGCAUAAGAGGAGGAUGUUUUGGUGGCUCUGAUGAGAGAGGAAUGCCCUAGUGCAAGCUGCAAUUUGGGUCACAGUGUGGUAAGAGAAGAAGAUACAAAGCCUCAGAUGGCUGGAGGACAGUGUUUGGCAAGAGCCUGGGAGAUCCACCUAGAAAAAUCUGAAUCUAAGACAAAGGAAACCCAUGAUUCAAUUUCAAGAUGUGUCAGGUCAGCCACGAAGAUAGAUACAGACAGAGAGGAGGAGAGGUGAGAAUGCACUUCCUUUGCUUUUAAAAGAAAGGCCAGAGAAGAAGAAAAUCCACUAAAUGUAACAGCCAGUGAAAUAAGUAAAGUAUUUGGGAGGUUAUUUUCUUGGUAACAAGCUAAUGUAAAUAGAUCUUUGUAUUAGGUCAUAAAUGUGACUUCCACAAAGAUGUAAGUGAACUCCCCUCAUUCAAAGGCUGCUGUGGGCUGGACAUUUCCAUGGAAUUCCCUCCCUGGACCCUCCACUGUUUCCUGUCAGGCCUUCACACAGCAGGGCAGUCCCACUCCUGACAAUGAGUAAGGCUCAGGACUAUUGUAACCAAAAACCAAAAUGUGUUUCCAUUAAAAAAAUCUGGCUGAUAGCAAUUAAUUCCACGUUUUUGUGAAUAAAUAUCAUGCGCCUGGUGCCAGAACACUUUGGCUUGUUUGCAGAAGCUAACAGUGACACAUAAAUCUAUUUUCCCUGUUGCUCAACAGACCAUCUCAUUCUGCUGACCAAUUUUCACAGGGGAAGAGGGAUUUUUUCUGUCUCUCAGUCAAUACCUUC